UCCGGGGUAGCUCAAUCGGCAGAGCAACACGCUGUUAACGUGCAGGCUGUGGGUUCGAGUCCCACCCCCGGAG
Molecule: transfer RNA, 73 nt
Filed under: Actinomycetota bacterium
Lineage: Bacteria; Bacillati; Actinomycetota
Description: tRNA-Asn
Rfam family: tRNA
About the family: Transfer RNA (tRNA) molecules are approximately 80 nucleotides in length.
Source: RNAcentral